Molecule: ribosomal RNA, 1296 nt
Filed under: Bacillus amyloliquefaciens
Lineage: Bacteria; Bacillati; Bacillota; Bacilli; Caryophanales; Bacillaceae
Description: bacterial LSU rRNA
Rfam family: Bacterial large subunit ribosomal RNA
Source: RNAcentral
CAGCCACCAUUUAAAGAGUGCGUAAUAGCUCACUGGUCGAGUGACUCUGCGCCGAAAAUGUACCGGGGCUAAACGUAUCACCGAAGCUGCGGACUGUUCUUCGAACAGUGGUAGGAGAGCGUUCUAAGGGCUGUGAAGCAAGACCGGAAGGACUUGUGGAGCGCUUAGAAGUGAGAAUGCCGGUAUGAGUAGCGAAAGAGGGGUGAGAAUCCCCUCCACCGAAUGCCUAAGGUUUCCUGAGGAAGGCUCGUCCGCUCAGGGUUAGUCGGGACCUAAGCCGAGGCCGAAAGGCGUAGGCGAUGGAUAACAGGUUGAUAUUCCUGUACCACCUCCUCACCAUUUGAGCAAUGGGGGGACGCAGGAGGAUAGGGUAAGCGCGGUAUUGGAUAUCCGCGUCCAAGCAGUUAGGCUGGGAAAUAGGCAAAUCCGUUUCCCGUGAAGGCUGAGCUGUGAUGGCGAGCGAAUUAUAGUAGCGAAGUUCCUGAUUCCACACUGCCAAGAAAAGCCUCUAGCGAGGUGAGAGGUGCCCGUACCGCAAACCGACACAGGUAGGCGAGGAGAGAAUCCUAAGGUGAUCGAGAGAACUCUCGUUAAGGAACUCGGCAAAAUGACCCCGUAACUUCGGGAGAAGGGGUGCUCUGUUAGGGUGCAAGCCCGAGAGAGCCGCAGUGAAUAGGCCCAGGCGACUGUUUAGCAAAAACACAGGUCUCUGCGAAGCCGUAAGGCGAAGUAUAGGGGCUGACGCCUGCCCGGUGCUGGAAGGUUAAGAGGAGCGCUUAGCGUAAGCGAAGGUGCGAAUUGAAGCCCCAGUAAACGGCGGCCGUAACUAUAACGGUCCUAAGGUAGCGAAAUUCCUUGUCGGGUAAGUUCCGACCCGCACGAAAGGCGCAACGAUCUGGGCACUGUCUCAACGAGAGACUCGGUGAAAUUAUAGUACCUGUGAAGAUGCAGGUUACCCGCGACAGGACGGAAAGACCCCGUGGAGCUUUACUGCAGCCUGAUAUUGAAUGUUGGUACAGCUUGUACAGGAUAGGUAGGAGCCUUGGAAACCGGAGCGCCAGCUUCGGUGGAGGCAUCGGUGGGAUACUACCCUGGCUGUAUUGACCUUCUAACCCGCCGCCCUUAUCGGGCGGGGAGACAGUGUCAGGUGGGCAGUUUGACUGGGGCGGUCGCCUCCUAAAAGGUAACGGAGGCGCCCAAAGGUUCCCUCAGAAUGGUUGGAAAUCAUUCGCAGAGUGUAAAGGCACAAGGGAGCUUGACUGCGAGACCUACAAGUCGAGCAGGGACGAAAGUCGG